CAAAGGGGGGACGUUUGAUACUUUCACUGCUCACAGACGGCAGGUACCCGUCUGGUUCUACGCGGAUUUGGGAUUGUCGGGCAACCUUCGGUGCUGGGAUAUUGCAAUAUUCUUGAAUAUGAAAUUAUAGCACGAAUCUUCAGUUAAUCUCUGCUUGUACGGAACGAAAUACGAUAAUAUAACAUGAGACGUGACACUAAUAUAUCGUGAUACUAUCCGCUUAUCAUUCGCACGCUCGGACUCAUGACCGACCGCGUGCGAGGAAAAAAAAGAGAUUUGCUGCUUUACCUUAUCAUCAUGUGGACUUUAUUAUAUAAAGGGCUAAUGCUAAAAUGUACACAAGAUAAGUUAUUAAAAAUGUUCAUUAUUGCGGUAGUAAUAAUUAAUUAUACACAUGAAUAGUCAUCUUCUACUAGAGAGUGAAUGAUGAUUCAAUUUUUUUUUUCGAGGGCUAUAACUUUUAAAUACCAGAUUCGACGCGUUUACUCGUAAUUAAAUUACAGCAGAUACACGGUCGUAUGAGACAAGGUCGGCGUAAACAACGGGCCGCCGUAUUACAUACUAAUCGAUUUGUCUUCUCUAGGUUCCUUUAGUCGCCCCAUCAGCUCUUGCCGUAUUUAAGCACCGAUUACAUCGAGACAUUUUUCGCUCUAACGCGCGCUUUACACAUGGUUCGCAAGACAGAAUCGUUUUACUUACGCACUAAUUAAGUAAUCGUAUUUUCCUUUUUAAAUGACGUAUCAGAUUUUAUUUAUCUAUGAUUAGGAGCCAAAAAACACACUGCUAGCACCAUUAAACAGUGCAAUUAUGUAGUUUCAUAUAAUCUUAAACGAACUAUAUCGCGCUGAAUGACAUUUCGCAAUUUAACGACACAAUUUGUUCAUUUUGUAAUAGCUAAGUUUUUAAGAAAUAAUAUGUCAUCACAUCGCCUUAUCCUUACAGCCACAAUAUAUCGAGAAUACAAUAUUACAAUCGCAACGUUUAAAUAACAGAUUUAAGUCUAUCAUUUGUCCAGUAAUGGACAGUACGGUCGCGCGUCACAAAUGUACACAUAUUUAUAUUGUGGAUGAAAGGAAAAACAUCUGGUCACGAAGACUAAAUAA
Molecule: long non-coding RNA, 1103 nt
Organism: Solenopsis invicta (red fire ant)
Lineage: Eukaryota; Metazoa; Arthropoda; Insecta; Hymenoptera; Formicidae
Exons: 2
Source: RefSeq, a predicted model, not a curated record